AUUGAACGCUGGCGGCAGGCUUAACACAUGCAAGUCGAGCGGGGUGAUGGUGCUUGCACUAUCACUUAGCGGCGGACGGGUGAGUAAUGCUUAGGAAUCUGCCUAUUAGUGGGGGACAACACCUCGAAAGGGAUGCUAAUACCGCAUACGUCCUACGGGAGAAAGCAGGGGAUCACUUGUGCCCUUGCGCUAAUAGAUGAGCCUAAGUCGGAUUAGCUAGUUGGUGGGGUAAAGGCCUACCAAGGCGACGAUCUGUAGCGGGUCUGAGAGGAUAUUCCGCCACACUGGGACUUAGACACGGCCCAGACUCCUACGGGAGGCAGCAGUGGGGAAUAUUGGAAAAUGGGGGGAACCCUGAUCCAGCCAUGCCGCGUGUGUGAAGAAGGCCUUAUGGUUGUAAAGCACUUUAAGCGAGGAGGAGGCUCUUUUGGUUAAUACCCAAGAUGAGUGGACGUUACUCGCAGAAUAAGCACCGGCUAACUCUGUGCCAGCCGCCGCCGUAA
Molecule: ribosomal RNA, 503 nt
Filed under: uncultured bacterium
Lineage: Bacteria
Description: partial 16S ribosomal RNA
Rfam family: Bacterial small subunit ribosomal RNA
Source: RNAcentral